This 438-nucleotide ribosomal RNA is filed under the name uncultured bacterium. RNAcentral's name for it is "partial 16S ribosomal RNA". It matches the Rfam family "Bacterial small subunit ribosomal RNA", at positions 339 to 795 of the family's 1533-position model. The record is from RNAcentral.
CUACGGGAGGCACCAGUGGGGAAUAUUGCACAAUGGAGGAAACUCUGAUGCAGCAACGCCGCGUGGAGGAUGACACUUUUCGGAGCGUAAACUCCUUUAUAUAGGAAGAAGAUGACGGUACUAUAUGAAUAAGCGCCGGCUAACUCCGUGCCAGCAGCCGCGGUAAUACGGAGGGCGCAAGCGUUACUCGGAAUCACUGGGCGUAAAGAGCGUGUAGGCGGAUUAAAAAGUCAGAAGUGAAAUCCUAUAGCUUAACUAUAGAACUGCUUCUGAAACUCUUAAUCUAGAAUGUGGGAGAGGUAGAUGGAAUUUCUGGUGUAGGGGUAAAAUCCGUAGAGAUCAGAAGGAAUACCGAUUGCGAAGGCGAUCUACUAGAACAUUAUUGACGCUGAGACGCGAAAGCGUGGGGAGCAAACAGGAUUAGAUACCCCAGUAGUC